GAUGAACGCUGGCGGCGUGCCUAAUACAUGCAAGUCGAGCGAACAGACGAGGAGCUUGCUCCUCUGACGUUAGCGGCGGACGGGUGAGUAACACGUGGAUAACCUACCUAUAAGACUGGGAUAACUUCGGGAAACCGGAGCUAAUACCGGAUAAUAUAUUGAACCGCAUGGUUCAAUAGUGAAAGACGGUUUUGCUGUCACUUAUAGAUGGAUCCGCGCCGCAUUAGCUAGUUGGUAGGGUAACGGCUUACCAAGGCAACGAUGCGUAGCCGACCUGAGAGGGUGAUCGGCCACACUGGAACUGAGACACGGUCCAGACUCCUACGGGAGGCAGCAGUAGGGAAUCUUCCGCAAUGGGCGAAAGCCUGACGGAGCAACGCCGCGUGAGUGAUGAAGGUCUUCGGAUCGUAAAGCUCUGUUAUUAGGGAAGAACAGAUGUGUAAGUAACUAUGCACGUCUUGACGGUACCUAAUCAGAAAGCCACGGCUAACUACGUG
RNAcentral lists this ribosomal RNA (497 nucleotides) under uncultured bacterium. RNAcentral describes it as "partial 16S ribosomal RNA". It matches the Rfam family "Bacterial small subunit ribosomal RNA", at positions 28 to 507 of the family's 1533-position model. The record is from RNAcentral.